AGAGUUUGAUCAUGGCUCAGGUUGAACGCUGGCGGCAGGCCUAACACAUGCAAGUCGAACGGUAACAGGAAACAGCUUGCUGUUUCGCUGACGAGUGGCGGACGGGUGAGUAAUGUCUGGGAAACUGCCUGAUGGAGGGGGAUAACUACUGGAAACGGUAGCUAAUACCGCAUAACGUCGCAAGACCAAAGAGGGGGACCCUCGGGCCUCUUGCCAUCGGAUGUGCCCAGAUGGGAUUAGCUUGUUGGUGGGGUAACGGCUCACCUAGGCGACGAUCCCUAGCUGGUCUGAGAGGAUGACCAGCCACACUGGAACUGAGACACGGUCCAGACUCCUACGGGAGGCAGCAGUGGGGAAUAUUGCACAAUGGGCGCAAGCCUGAUGCAGCCAUGCCGCGUGUAUGAAGAAGGCCUUCGGGUUGUAAAGUACUUUCAGCGGGGAGGAAGGGAGUAAAGUUAAUACCUUUGCUCAUUGACGUUACCCGCAGAAGAAGCACCGGCUAACU
Molecule: ribosomal RNA, 505 nt
Filed under: Escherichia coli 1-392-07_S3_C3
Lineage: Bacteria; Pseudomonadati; Pseudomonadota; Gammaproteobacteria; Enterobacterales; Enterobacteriaceae
Description: bacterial SSU rRNA
Rfam family: Bacterial small subunit ribosomal RNA
Source: RNAcentral